Molecule: ribosomal RNA, 253 nt
Filed under: uncultured bacterium
Lineage: Bacteria
Description: partial 16S ribosomal RNA
Rfam family: Bacterial small subunit ribosomal RNA
Source: RNAcentral
UACGAAGGGGGCUAGCGUUGCUCGGAAUUACUGGGCGUAAAGCGCGUGUAGGCUGCUUCGCAAGUCGGAUGUGAAAGCCCUGGGCUCAACCCAGGAAGUGCAUUCGAAACUGCAGAGCUGGAGUCCUGGAGAGGAAGGCGGAAUUCUCGGUGUAGAGGUGAAAUUCGUAGAUAUCGAGAGGAACACCGGUGGCGAAGGCGGCCUUCUGGACAGUGACUGACGCUGAGGCACGAAAGCUAGGGGAGCAAACGGG